AGAGUUUGAUCAUGGCUCAGGAUGAACGCUGGCGGCGUGCCUAACACAUGCAAGUCGAACGUGAUAGCUUAGCAAUAAGCUUGAAAGUGGCGAACGGGUGAGUAACACGUAGGUGACCUGCCGCGCAGAGGGGGAUAACGACUGGAAACGGUCGCUAACACCGCAUGUGACGAGCUUUUUGGGAAAUUAGCUCGUUAAAACUUUGGUGCUGCGCGAGGGGCCUGCGCCCGAUUAGUUAGUUGGUGAGGUAAUGGCUCACCAAGGCGACGACGGGUAGGGGACCUGAGAGGGUGACCCCCCACAAUGGAACUGAAACACGGUCCAUACACCUACGGGUGGCAGCAGUAGGGAAUAUUGCUCAAUGGGCGAAGCCUGAAGCAGCAACGCCGCGUGCGUGAUGAAGGUCUUCGUAU
Molecule: ribosomal RNA, 413 nt
Filed under: uncultured bacterium
Lineage: Bacteria
Description: bacterial SSU rRNA
Rfam family: Bacterial small subunit ribosomal RNA
Source: RNAcentral